UUUUUUUUUUUUUUUUGAAAGGCUAACACCUAAUCAUCCUACUGGCUGUUCCCUGUUCCCUGGACAGAGUUUUCAAUUUGUUGUCAGAUGCUAAGCCCACAAAAGAUUGAAUUGUGCACCCCCCAAAUUCACAUAUCGGAGUCCUAACCCCCAGUGCCUGUGAAUGUGAUCUUGGAAAUAAGGUCUUUGCAGAUGUAAUUAAGAGUAGGUCAGCAUAUGCACAUUGAGGUAUAUGAAAUGACUGGCCAGUAGAGGCCUGCUGUAUAGCACAGAGGACUCUACCCAAUAUUCUGUGACAAUCUAUGUGGGAACAGAAUCUGAAAGAGAAUGGAUGUGUGUAUAUGUAUAACUGAAUCAAUUUUUUGUAUGCCAGAAAUUAUCACAACCUUGAAAAUCAACUAUACUUCAAUAAAACUUUAAAAAGGGGGAGAAAAAUUAGGUCAUUAGGAUGGGUCCUAAUUGAAUAUGACUUGAUGUCCUUAUCAAAAGGGGAAAUUUGGAGACAGACUUGCACACAGGCAAUAUUUCUCAUGUGAACAUGAAGGCAAAAUCAGGGUGAUGUUUCUACAAGCCAGGAAAAAAACAAAAAUUGCCAGCAAACUAUCAGAAACUAGGUGAGAGCCAUAGACCAGAUCUUCCCUGAAGCUCUCAGAAGGAACCAGCCUGGCCAACACCUUGAUCUCAGACAUCCAGCCACCAGUACCGAGACAAGAAAUUCCCAGUUGCGGAGUUCCUGUUGUUGCUCAGUGGUUAGCGAAUCCAACUAGGAACCACGAGUUUGCGGGUUCGAUCCCUGGCCUUGCUCAGUGGGUUAAGGAUCUGGUGUUGCCAUGAGCUGUGGUGUAGGUCGCAGACGCAGCUCAGAUCCUGCAUUGCUGUGGCUCUGGCGUAGGCUGGUGGCUACAGCUCCAAUUAAACCCCUAGCCUCAGAACCUCCAUAUGCCACAGGAGCAGCUCUAGAAAAAGGCAAAAAGACAAAAAAAAAUUUCAGUUGCUUAAGCCAUGCAGUCUGUGGUACUUUGUUCCAGCAGCCCUAGAAAACUAAGCUAGGCACCUCCUUGAAGGGUUGGACUUUCUGGAAGAAAACAAAUGAAUUCACCCCUGCAGGGUUAAUCAGCCCCACAUUGUCCAUACAACCUUAGGCUUGGCUUUCGCCCAUAACAUUUUGAUCAGUGACCCUUGGUUUCUUUCUGCCCGAGAUCCCUUAUAUCUCUCUGGUGGCAAAUUUCCUUGCUGCUCCGGGGUAUGUGGGGAGGACCAAGAAUGGAAGUCUUUGUUUAGAAUUUUCGUGGUAUACACAAAUAAGGAGCAUAUGGGGGAUUUUCAAGCCAGAGGCAUUGCAGAAUUAGGCAAGGGAAGAGAGACUUCAUGUGUUAGACAUUUCCUGUUCAAAUUCAUCAAGAGCUUCUCUAUACCCUCCCUUCCAUGUGUCCUGCUCCCUCCACAAGCCCCAAAUUUGUCAGAGGCUUUCUUAGCAGUGUAAGCCCAACAGGAUGCUGAGAGAAAGGGAUAAGAAAAAAUAGUACAUCAACCCGGAUGAAUGGAAAGAGCCCUGUUUCUUUUUAUGCAUAUAAAUUCAGAAUUGUGAAAAAGAAACAAGUAAGAAAAUUUCCUUCUGAGUGAACAUGCCUUUAAGUGUGUUUAAAUUGUUUAUACAAAGGCUGGCCUUUAGAAAUUAACCCGGUUGCUUCCUUUUCGAUACAGGGACAUGCACUGAAAUUCUGCCUUCAGGCUUUAAGUGGAGACAUCUAUUACUGGCUUGUGUCGUAGCCCAUAGGCUGUAAAGUAGGGUGAGUGGGUCACGUUUAAGGACUAAAAGCUGGUCUAUCCCAGCUCAGCCACUCCAAAAAAGGAGGACUAAAAUCUGGUCUAUCCCAACUCACACAACAGCAUCCCCCCCCGCGGGGGGGGUGAUUUUGGACUCCUUAUUCCCUGAAUGCAGGAUGCCCCCCCCCCCAGCUACUUCCUAUCAUUUAUGAAUGCGCUAUAACAACUUCAUUUCUUUGCUUUGGAAAAGCCCUUUCAAAUGAAAAUAUUUCAUUAGCUGCCAGAGAAUUAGUAAGGCAAGCUGUGAAGAAGGCAUCUCCAUUUGCUUGUGUCUGGGAAGGAGGUUGCCUCCUGGUUAGCACAGGCAUCCCAGUUUCACACCCCAUUAACAGGGUGUUUGUCUGAUUUCUUCCUUUCAACCCAAACCACAGCCCUGGGGAAGCUAGCCAGCCUUCCAGUUUCUGCCGGCGCAGAUCUUCAUGGCCUCAUGGUUCAACUUAGUGGAAGAGAUUUCUUUCAACAGUUGCAGAAGAGGGGCUUCUACACUGAAAUGUAAGCACAGAAACACGUUUCAAUGACGUAUAUACAUUAUGCGAUUUCUUUGUGUUUUGAAUUGUGGUGCUUCUGGAUGAAUCUCCUGAAGACCAGCAUGUAAAAUUGGUAAUUUGUAGUAAUACUAGAAAUGCAAAGAUAAAAAAUAGUCGUCAUUUUAUACUAAGGUAAAUAUGUAUUAUAUGGUAUGGUGCAGGAGAUAGAAUACAGAACAUAAAGCAUAAAACUAAAGAAGUCAGAUUUGGGGAACAUUUAUCAAAGACUUAAAAUGGGCCAGGAAAUGCACUUGGUUCUUCAUGUAUUCUUAGAGUGUGUGUGUGCGUGUGUGUGUGUGUGUGUGUGUGUAGAGAGAGAGAGAGAGAGAGAGAGAGAGAGAGAGAGUGAGAGUAGAUGCCUCUGGAGAAUUUAUACAAGGGUAAUUGAUGUGAAUGUCAUGAAAAGUCAUUUAAGAGUUUGAGGGGAAGCAUAAGGAAGAUAAUUAUGUAUUAAGAAAAGUUAUUUUUUUCCUGAUUUUCAGAAGGGUCUAAUCCUUGAAUACUAUUUCCAAGGUCAAGGCCCAAACUUGGCUUUGAGAUAAUUAAUUGGCCUAUUGCCUGGAGUGAGAAGUUUGGCUUUCAGAGACAGAUACACUAAUCAAAAACAACUUUCAAGAAGAUUUUAUUCUGUCCAAGGCUACCACAGUGACUUGCACAUAGUAUGCCCUCGAAUAAGAGUUUGUCUAGUGGAUGAAGAGAGCAUUUUGUGUUGAAAAGUUGUAUGUAGCAGGAAGGCCCUGUAUUUUUCCCACUAAAGAUGAAGAGGGACUUGUCCGAUUUGCCGUAAGAGAAAUAUAGUUAAUACUGCCAGCUGAGAGUAGAAAGAAAUAUUGGUAAGAGCUUCAAGAGGGUUAAUGUUCUUUCUGGAGGUAUCUAUGGCAAAAGAAAGGUUAAGCAUAGUUCUUCCAAAAAAAAAAAAAUAUGGAUAGGACCUUGAUGCUCUGCUCCUUACUCUCUUUCCCCCUCCAUUUGCUACCUACUGAAAGACAAAGAAAGGCCCAGAAUGGCACUAAAUCCCCCUGAUUCAUGGGUUUUUUCCCUUAUAGUCAAGGUACUCUGCCUUUUUGAGGACACAGAGGUCACUUGGCUCAUGUUACCUGAACUAUAAAGGGGGUACAAAUUAGUUAGGAAUUAGUUCAGUUGAGAGGGAAAGGAAACCCCCCAAAUAAAAUGGCUCAAACAACAUAGAAAUUGAAGAAGCCCAGAGGUAGAUAUCCAGUUCAUGAUGUUGUUAGGAACCACCAUUCUCAUCAUUUAGCUUCUACCGCAUGGUUCAACAUAGCUACUUAAGUUCCAGCCAUCAUGUCUACCUCCUCAUCAGGAGCAAAGAAAGGAUGAAGAAAGGCAUGCCAUAUUCUUAUAAGGACACUUCCCAGAAGUUGCAAAAGACAUGUUUGCUCACGUCUCACUGGCUAGGACUUCCAUGCACACACCCUCAGCUUUAGAGCUGAGUAAUACGGUUUCUAUCUUGAGUAGUCAAAUAUCAGGUAAACACAGGGGUUCUAUUAAAAGAAAGCAGAGGAGGAGUUCUUGUUGUAGUUCAGUGGGUUAAGAACCUGGCUAGUAUCCAUGAGGAUGUGGAUUUGAUACCUGGCCUUGCUCAGUGUGUUAAGGAUCUGGAGUUUUCAUGAGCUGUGGCGUAGGUCUCAGAUGCAGCUUGGAUCUGGCAUUGCUGUGGCAGUGGCAAAGGCUGGCAGCUGCAGCUCAGAUUUGACCCCUAGCCUGGGAACUUCCACAUGCUGCAGGUGCAGCUCUAAAAAGAAAAAAAUGUAUAUGUGUGUGUGUGUAUGUGUGUGUGUGUAUAUGUAUAUAUAAAAGAAAGCAGAGGAAAAGGAGAUUAUCUAUCAUCCUUGCCACAGGAGUAAAUGUGGGACCUUCAAUGGCAAGGUUUGUCACUCAGACCCUGCAAACAUUAUCUACAGCUCUGUCUAUACUCCCCUUGGUUCUUCUAUGGGUUUUCCUGAGUAGCUUAAUUUGAUUCUUGAUAAUAGGAACUCCUAGGCAGGUCUGGAAGGUGGUCACAGGGCUUGGGGUCAGCCUGGAUUCAUUGGAGCAGAGCAGUUUCCAAGCUCUAAUGGACAAAGGCAUCUGAGGCUGUAGGUCUGGGUGGGGCUUGAGAUUCUGCAUUUCUAACAAGCUCCCAAGUGGUGUGAGGCUGCUGGAGCACAGACCACAUUUCCAGUGCAAGCAUUUAGAGAAGGUUCUUUAUGGCCUUCUGUGUCUCAGUUUGUAGUGGAGUAUUCGAGUUAGAGAUGGGCCCGUGGUGGUCAAGGUGUGUCUGUCAGUGGUUCUCAUAUACCUUUGCUUAUAGGACUGCCCUGGGGAGCUUGUUAAAAUACAGAUGUCUAGGAUCCCAACUAUCGUUUAAUGUAACAGGUGGAAGACACUGGAUUUUUCUAACAGACACCCUGAGUAAUUUCUGAUAAAGGUGGCAUUGGAGCUGCACCUUGAGAAGUGUUGGUGCCAGGUUUCCCAAAGGUCUGUCUGGUGAGGGUCUUGACCUCUCAGGUCACAAGCCUAUGAGAUUCUGGCAUUCUGGGAUUUUUGGUUUUAUUGUCUGGUUGAAAUCAUUAAAGGAGAGACAUUUUACUAAUCUUUAUGGCUUGGGAGUAUUUCAUCAAGGCACAUUCAUCUUCCUUGCCUGUGUUAGAACUAAGGGCUUUACUCUUCCAGGAAUUUAGGGUGCCUUUAUCUGCUAGGCACCCUAGCAGAACAUAAUGCCAUAGCUGGUGGCUGAAACAAUAGGCAUUUAUUUCUUAUGGUUGCGGAGGCCGAAUGUCCAAGAGGGGGCCCAGCACGGUCGAGUUCUGGUGAGAGCCCUCUUCCAGGCUUGCAGACAGCUGCCUUCUACCGCUGCUUUAUGGCUGUGCCCUCAUGUGCUCGAGAGAGAGGGAGCUCCGGUCUUGUCCUCUUCUCAGAAGAGGGUGAGAAAUCACCCUCAUGACCUCAUCUAAACUGAAAUAUUUCCAAGAAGGCUCACCUCAAAUACCAUGACUUUGAGGGUUAGGUUUCAACAUAUGUGUUUCGGGGAAGACACUGGCAUGCAGUUCAUAACAUAGAGGGAUUCUGUAUCACCGAGAAUGGUGCUGACAGAUUACCUAGAGGUUUAGUGGGGCAGAGGCAGAUGUAGGGGCAGGGCUGAGGGAGAGUCAGAGGAGGGAGGGAGGAGGGAGGGGGGAAGCUGACCUCCCUCUCCUGGCAUCAUCUAUGCACAGGCACUAGCUGUUGUCUAGCGCUAGCCGUUGUGUAAGCAUGGCUUCAUGUAAUCCUCACCGCCACCUGUGAGGUGGUGGGGUUAUCCCCGUUGACCCCGACAUAUGUUUUGAUCUUCUUUUGCACAUAUUCAAUACUUAAUUUAAACAAGAGUCAGAGAACAGGAAUGGCUUUGGUGAUCAGAGGCUACGAGGGGUCUUUUUCCCUCUUCACCUUGGUACCAUCUUUGCUGCCUGGAUGGUGUUCUUCCCUCCCUCCCUCUCUUGCCCACUUCCUAUCCCAGCAUCGCUUUACCACUUUUAUCUCAUAAUCAUCUCUGCUUAUAAAGGCCCAGUUCAAGUUUUAGGUAGAUUUUUUCUUCACCCUUUCCAGGAGUCUUAGACUGCAGCCCUGCAGUCUUAGAUUUGCUCCUCCCUUCACUUGGAAUAGAUAUCCCCAUGUUGUCCCAGUCAGCCUGGAGACUCAUUAUAUUAAGCAUGGCUUUUAAUUUUCUGUAUUAAAAAAAUUGGAAUGUCAUUGAUUUACAAAGGGGUGUUAAUUUUAAGUGUACAGCAAAGUAAAUCAGCUAUACCUAUAUCAAUUCCUUUUCAGAUUCUUUCCCUGUAUAGGUUAUGACACAGUAUUAAGUGGAUUUUCCUGUGCCAUAUAGUAGGUCCUUGUUAUUUAUCUAUUUUAUAUAUGGUAGUGUGUAUAUGUUAAUCCCAAACCCCUAAUUUAUCCCUCCUUCCACAUUUCACCUUUGGUAACCGUAAGUUUGGUUUCAAAAUCUUUGAAUCUGUUUCUGUUUAGUGAAUAGUUUCUUUUGUAUCCUUUUUAAAUUAGAUUUUAUUAGUGAUUUUGUAUGAUAUUUGUAUUUCUCUGUCUGGCUUCCUUUACUUAGUGUAAUAGUCUCUCAUGUUGCUGCAAAUGGCAAAAUUUCAGUCUUUUUUAUGGGCUAAGUAAUAUUCCGUUGUAUAUAUAUACCACAGAUUCUUU
This 6542-nucleotide long non-coding RNA is filed under the name Sus scrofa (pig). RNAcentral describes it as "lncRNA (ENSSSCG00040046563.1)". The record is from RNAcentral. Lineage: Eukaryota; Metazoa; Chordata; Mammalia; Artiodactyla; Suidae.